GCCGAGGGCCAUGUCCUGCCACUGCCCCGGCAUUUAUUGCGCAUGACCCCUGCAAACCCCCAGUUCACUCAACAAUUAAUGCGGAUCUCCGGCUUACUCCAUAAUUAAUGCGGAUCUCCGGCUUACUCCAUAAUUAAUGCGGAUCUCCGGCUUACUCCACCAUUAAUGCGCGUGGCUCCUGUUAUCUACGGACCCGCAA
This 199-nucleotide long non-coding RNA is filed under the name Phoenix dactylifera (date palm). RNAcentral's name for it is "long non-coding RNA (PDAC_LNC016158)". The record is from RNAcentral. Lineage: Eukaryota; Viridiplantae; Streptophyta; Magnoliopsida; Arecales; Arecaceae.